AUGAUGGACUAUAGGACAGGACUGCUGCUUCUAACUAUCUGCUGGGCAGGUGUUGAUGGUCAGACUCUGACACAAUCUGAACCAUCAGUUAAAAAACCUGGAGAAUCCCACAAACUGACCUGUGCAGCUUCUGGAUUCACAUUCAGCAGCUAUGACAUGAACUGGAUCAGAAAGGCUCCUGGAAAAGGACUGGAGUGGAUUGCAACUAUCACUACCGACAGUAGUGGCAAAUACUACUCUCAGUCAGUUCAAGGCCGGUUCACCAUCUCCAGAGACAACAGCAGACAGCAGCUGUAUCUGUAG
This is a non-coding RNA of Scomber scombrus (Atlantic mackerel), 303 nucleotides long. NCBI's taxonomy places the organism in Eukaryota, Metazoa, Chordata, Actinopteri, Scombriformes, Scombridae. The record is from the annotation of a RefSeq genome assembly.